AAGAAGAAGAUCCACACUUCCGGGUGGUGAUGACGUCGCGUCGUGACGUCAUAUUUCAAAAUGGCAGAGCCCGCGGAAAGACCCCCUGGAGUCGACUCCAUUUCCCAAGAAAAGAUGUCAACAGCGCGACUUGUAACAAUUAUAAGGCCGAGGAGGGUUAUUUGAACACACACCAUUCAAUUAUUAUAAAUGAAAGUCACGUUUUUUAACCGCUCCGGUCUCGUCCCAGCGGAAGUGACGCUAGCACGUCAUCAGAAUACAACAGAUCAACACGACGAGAGAGACAUUCUGCCGCUAGACGAAGGUCACCGAGCAGCGACGAAGUUUGCAUUUUCGGUAGAAAUGGCAACAGCAGAGGAUGGAUGUCCCAUAACAAGAAGGUGGAGAAAAAGAAGAAGCUUAUCGACUACGGUGUCGGCACGGACUACAAAGGCGGAC
This is a long non-coding RNA of Entelurus aequoreus (snake pipefish), 438 nucleotides long. RefSeq lists it as uncharacterized. The record is from RefSeq and is a predicted model, not a curated record. Lineage: Eukaryota; Metazoa; Chordata; Actinopteri; Syngnathiformes; Syngnathidae. The transcript is spliced from 3 exons.